AUGCAGUCGACGAUGAAGCCCAGCUUGCUGGGUGGAUUAGUGGCGAACGGGUGAGUAACACGUGAGUAACCUGCCCCCGACUCUGGGAUAAGCCCGGGAAACUGGGUCUAAUACCGGAUAUUACCUUUGACCGCAUGGUUGUUGGUGGAAAGAUUUAUCGGUGGGGGAUGGACUCGCGGCCUAUCAGCUUGUUGGUGAGGUAAUGGCUCACCAAGGCGACGACGGGUAGCCGGCCUGAGAGGGUGACCGGCCACACUGGGACUGAGACACGGCCCAGACUCCUACGGGAGGCAGCAGUGGGGAAUAUUGCACAAUGGGCGAAAGCCUGAUGCAGCGACGCCGCGUGAGGGAUGACGGCCUUCGGGUUGUAAACCUCUUUCAGUAGGGAAGAAGCGAAAGUGACGGUACCUGCAGAAGAAGCGCCGGCUAACUACGUGCCAGCAGCCGCGGUAAUACGUAGGGCGCAAGCGUUAUCCGGAUUUAUUGGGCGUAAAGAGCUCGUAGGCGGUUUGUCGCGUCUGCCGUGAAAGUCCGAGGCUCAACCUCGGAUCUGCGGUGGGUACGGGCAGACUAGAGUGAUGUAGGGGAGACUGGAAUUCCUGGUGUAGCGGUGAAAUGCGCAGAUAUCAGGAGGAACACCGAUGGCGAAGGCAGGUCUCUGGGCAUUUACUGACGCUGAGGAGCGAAAGCAUGGGGAGCGAACAGGAUUAGAUACCCUGGUAGUCCAUGCCGUAAACGUUGGGCACUAGGUGU
This 753-nucleotide ribosomal RNA is filed under the name Arthrobacter sp. MJ220. RNAcentral describes it as "bacterial SSU rRNA". It matches the Rfam family "Bacterial small subunit ribosomal RNA", at positions 55 to 823 of the family's 1533-position model. Lineage: Bacteria; Bacillati; Actinomycetota; Actinomycetes; Micrococcales; Micrococcaceae. The record is from RNAcentral.